AUUGAACGCUGGCGGCAUGCCUUACACAUGCAAGUCGAACGGCAGCACGGGUGCUUGCACCUGGUGGCGAGUGGCGAACGGGUGAGUAAUACAUCGGAACAUGUCCUGUAGUGGGGGAUAGCCCGGCGAAAGCCGGAUUAAUACCGCAUACGAUCUACGGAUGAAAGCGGGGGCCCUUCGGGCCUCGCGCUAUAGGGUUGGCCGAUGGCUGAUUAGCUAGUUGGUGGGGUAAAGGCCUACCAAGGCGACGAUCAGUAGCCGGUCUGAGAGGACGACCAGCCACACUGGAACUGAGACACGGCCCAGACUCCUACGGGAGGCAGCAGUGGGGAAUUUUGGACAAUGGGCGAAAGCCUGAUCCAGCAAUGCCGCGUGUGUGAAGAAGGCCUUCGGGUUGUAAAGCACUUUUGUCCGGAAAGAAAUACUUGGCCCUAAUACGGUCGGGGGAUGACGGUACCGGAAGAAUAAGCCCCGGCUAACUACGUG
RNAcentral lists this ribosomal RNA (486 nucleotides) under uncultured bacterium. Its description in RNAcentral is "partial 16S ribosomal RNA". It matches the Rfam family "Bacterial small subunit ribosomal RNA", at positions 30 to 507 of the family's 1533-position model. The record is from RNAcentral.